GUGUACAAGGCCCGGGAACGUAUUCACCGUGGCAUUCUGAUCCACGAUUACUAGCGAUUCCGACUUCAUGGAGUCGAGUUGCAGACUCCAAUCCGGACUACGACGCACUUUAUGAGGUCCGCUUGCUCUCGCGAGGUCGCUUCUCUUUGUAUGCGCCAUUGUAGCACGUGUGUAGCCCUGGUCGUAAGGGCCAUGAUGACUUGACGUCAUCCCCACCUUCCUCCAGUUUAUCACUGGCAGUCUCCUUUGAGUUCCCGGCCGGACCGCUGGCAACAAAGGAUAAGGGUUGCGCUCGUUGCGGGACUUAACCCAACAUUUCACAACACGAGCUGACGACAGCCAUGCAGCACCUGUCUCACAGUUCCCGAAGGCACCCUCGUAUCUCUACAAGGUUCUGUGGAUGUCAAGACCAGGUAAGGUUCUUCGCGUUGCAUCGAAUUAAACCACAUGCUCCACCGCUUGUGCGGGCCCCCGUCAAUUCAUUUGAGUUUUAACCUUGCG
RNAcentral lists this ribosomal RNA (501 nucleotides) under uncultured bacterium. RNAcentral's name for it is "partial 16S ribosomal RNA". The record is from RNAcentral.